This 299-nucleotide signal recognition particle RNA is filed under the name Aotus nancymaae (Ma's night monkey). Its description in RNAcentral is "Metazoan signal recognition particle RNA (ENSANAG00000013188.1)". It matches the Rfam family "Metazoan signal recognition particle RNA". From Rfam's summary of the family: The signal recognition particle (SRP) is a universally conserved ribonucleoprotein. It is involved in the co-translational targeting of proteins to membranes. The eukaryotic SRP consists of a 300-nucleotide 7S RNA and six proteins: SRPs 72, 68, 54, 19, 14, and 9. The record is from RNAcentral. Lineage: Eukaryota; Metazoa; Chordata; Mammalia; Primates; Aotidae.
GCCAGGUGAGGUGGCACGUGCCUGUAAUCCCAGCUACUCAGGAGGCUGAGGUCAGAGGAUCACUUGAGCCCAGGAGUUCUGGGCUGUAGUGUACUAUGCUGAUCAGGUGUCUGCACUAAGUUCAGCAUCAAUAUGGUGACCUCCCAGGAGCAGGGGACCACCAGGUUGCCUAAGGAGGGGUGAACUGGCCCAGCUCAGAAAAGAAGCAGGUCAAAACUCUUGUGCUGAUCAGUAACGGGAUCAUGCCUGUGAAUAGGCACUGCACUCCAGCCUGGGCAACACAGCAAGGCCCCAUCUCU